Glycine soja is the source of this 209-nucleotide long non-coding RNA. RefSeq lists it as uncharacterized. NCBI's taxonomy places the organism in Eukaryota, Viridiplantae, Streptophyta, Magnoliopsida, Fabales, Fabaceae. The record is from RefSeq and is a predicted model, not a curated record. The transcript is spliced from 3 exons.
AGGUGCUGGAUGCUACUGAUAAUGAACCUUGGGGUCCUCAUGGUACUGUGCUGGCAGAGAUUUCACAGGCUACCGAAAAAUUUACUGAAUGUCAAAUGGUCAUGAAUGUCCUUUGGACAAGACUGGGUGAAACUGGAAAAGAUUGGCGUUAUGUAUACAAGGCAUUAGCUGUCAUAGAAUAUUUGGUAGCACAUGGAUCUGAACGUGCA